RNAcentral lists this ribosomal RNA (430 nucleotides) under Pseudomonadota bacterium. Its description in RNAcentral is "Proteobacteria bacterium partial 16S ribosomal RNA". It matches the Rfam family "Bacterial small subunit ribosomal RNA", at positions 355 to 776 of the family's 1533-position model. Lineage: Bacteria; Pseudomonadati; Pseudomonadota. The record is from RNAcentral.
UGGGGAAUAUUGGACAAUGGGCGGAAGCCUGAUCCAGCCAUGCCGCGUGUGUGAAGAAGGCCUUUUGGUUGUAAAGCACUUUAAGCAAGGAGGAGGCUCUUCUAGUUAAUACCUAGGAUGAGUGGACGUUACUCGCAGAAUAAGCACCGGCUAACUCUGUGCCAGCAGCCGCGGUAAUACAGAGGGUGCGAGCGUUAAUCGGAUUUACUGGGCGUAAAGCGUGCGUAGGCGGCUGAUUAAGUCGGAUGUGAAAUCCCUGAGCUUAACUUAGGAAUUGCAUUCGAUACUGGUCAGCUAGAGUAUGGGAGAGGAUGGUAGAAUUCCAGGUGUAGCGGUGAAAUGCGUAGAGAUCUGGAGGAAUACCGAUGGCGAAGGCAGCCAUCUGGCCUAAUACUGACGCUGAGGUACGAAAGCAUGGGGAGCAAACAGG